AGGACGAACGCUGGCGGCGUGCUUAACACAUGCAAGUCACGGGGGCCCGCAAGGGCAACCGGCGAACGGGUGCGUAACACGUGAGCAAUCUGCCGAUCUCUGGGGGAUAGCCAGCCUAACGGCUGGGUAAUACCGCAUACGCUCGUUGGGGGGAGUCCCCUGAUGAGGAAACCUCCGGGGGAGAUCGAGGAGCUCGCGACCUAUCAGCUAGUUGGCGGGGUAACGGCCCACCAAGGCAGCGACGGGUAGCUGGUCUGAGAGGAUGGCCAGCCACAUUGGGACUGCGACACGGCCCAGACUCCUACGGGAGGCAGCAGUGGGGAAUAUUGCGCAAUGGACGAAAGUCUGACGCAGCGACGCCGCGUGUGGGAUGAAGCCGUUUCGGGGUGUAAACCACUGUUGCCCGGGACGAAACUCCUCUUUCGAGAGGAUUGACGGUACCGGGUGAGGAAGCGACCGGCUAACUCUGCGCCAGCAGCCGCGGUAA
RNAcentral lists this ribosomal RNA (487 nucleotides) under uncultured bacterium. RNAcentral's name for it is "SSU rRNA". It matches the Rfam family "Bacterial small subunit ribosomal RNA", at positions 26 to 523 of the family's 1533-position model. The record is from RNAcentral.